AGCAGAACUCUCGCCUGGCCUCCAAGAGCUCUCCUCCAGGAAGGAGGGACCACACUGACUCGGGCCCUCCCCCAAUUCCUCCUGAGCCCCAACCCUGCCAAGCCUGGGACCCUCCCCAGCUCAGAGCAAAAGUCUGGGCUCUGAGACCAGGAUAACAAUCAUCUUCCACUCAUCCAUUGCUCAUUGGCCUUUCUGACUCGCCUAGCACCAACCGACAGUAUCACGAACUAGUUACUACGCGUUACCAAGGGCUCCUCUCGGUUUGCAGUGAUCUCCCGAGCUCCACCUGUUCCCCACACUCCAUCCCUCCUCCAAGGCUCAGCACAGUGACCAAUGGGACAGAGCCCUGGUGAGCUGGCGGACAAGAGUGAGUCUUCAGGGCCAGGGUUUAAGCCCAGGCCCAGAACAGAAGCCAUUUUUAUAAAUGAAGCAUCCGAAAUUGAAGCCUGCCAAGAUGAAGGCAGAAACAACUUGGCACAUUGCUUCCAGGCACGGAAGAAGGAGAAGCGUGUCUGUUUCAUACCAGAAACCCUCCGGUUCUGGUUUCUCCAAGCUCGGCCUUUACCUUCUCCUUGACUUGGAAGGGUCGCCUGUGGCCCCGCUCCCCCAUCUCUUCUGGAGCUGCCUUCUGUAAAGUGAUCUUUCUAUAUUUACUUAAACUUCUAUUUAAAGAGGAAUUCCUCAUAAUUACUCAGCCGCAGAGAGCUGACACUGUUUGGCUCUGUUUAUUUAGUUUCUCCUAGUGAUUGGCAAAAUGUCCUCAGUGGCUUUCAAG
This 775-nucleotide long non-coding RNA is filed under the name Homo sapiens (human). Its description in RNAcentral is "HSALNT0251091". The record is from RNAcentral. Lineage: Eukaryota; Metazoa; Chordata; Mammalia; Primates; Hominidae.